UACGUAGGGUGCGAGCGUUAAUCGGAAUUACUGGGCGUAAAGCGUGCGCAGGCGGUUGUGUAAGACAGUUGUGAAAUCCCCGGGCUCAACCUGGGAAUUGCAUCUGUGACUGCACAGCUAGAGUACGGUAGAGGGGGAUGGAAUUCCGCGUGUAGCAGUGAAAUGCGUAGAUAUGCGGAGGAACACCGAUGGCGAAGGCAAUCCCCUGGACCUGUACUGACGCUCAUGCACGAAAGCUAGGGGAGCAAACGGG
This 253-nucleotide ribosomal RNA is filed under the name uncultured bacterium. Its description in RNAcentral is "partial 16S ribosomal RNA". It matches the Rfam family "Bacterial small subunit ribosomal RNA", at positions 524 to 776 of the family's 1533-position model. The record is from RNAcentral.